RNAcentral lists this ribosomal RNA (440 nucleotides) under uncultured bacterium. RNAcentral describes it as "partial 16S ribosomal RNA". It matches the Rfam family "Bacterial small subunit ribosomal RNA", at positions 338 to 795 of the family's 1533-position model. The record is from RNAcentral.
CCUACGGGUGGCAGCAGUGGGGGAUAUUGCUCAAUGGGCGCAACCCUGAUCCAGCCACGCCGCGUGGGUGAAGAAGCGCCUCGGCGCGUAAAGCCCUGUCAGCAGGGAAGAAAAUGACGGUACCUGAAGAAGAAGCCCCGGCUAACUACGUGCCAGCAGCCGCGGUAAUACGUAGGGGGCAAGCGUUAUCCGGAUUUACUGGGUGUUAAGGGGGCGUAGACGGCUGUGCAAGCCUGAAGUGAAAGGCGGGGGCCCAACCCCUGGACUGCUUUGGGAACUGUACGGCUGGAGUGCAGGAGAGGUAAGUGGAAUUCCUAGUGUAGCGGUGAAAUGCGUAGAUAUUAGGAGGAACACCAGUGGCGAAGGCGGCUUACUGGACUGUAACUGACGUUGAGGCUCGAAAGCGUGGGGAGCAAACAGGAUUAGAUACCCCUGUAGUC